Cynara cardunculus var. scolymus (artichoke) is the source of this 259-nucleotide long non-coding RNA. RefSeq lists it as uncharacterized. The record is from RefSeq and is a predicted model, not a curated record. The transcript has 3 exons. NCBI's taxonomy places the organism in Eukaryota, Viridiplantae, Streptophyta, Magnoliopsida, Asterales, Asteraceae.
CUUGUAAGGGAAGAUGCUUUCACUCAAUUUAAAAGUGAACUUGCUAUCACUGAACUUGAGCUUCAGGCAUUAUUAAAUAUGGCAAAAGAAAUCGUUAGUUAUGGCAUUCCAGCAGGUUCAAGAAAAAUAAAUGGGAAAUACAUUCAGUCUCUUCUUCUUUUACAGUUACAAGGCAUCCAAGAGAAGUUAAAGAAACAGAUAAAGGACGUGGAACUUACACAGUCGAAAGAGGUGUCGUUAUUCUGGUCUGGCAUGGCAG